RNAcentral lists this ribosomal RNA (253 nucleotides) under uncultured bacterium. RNAcentral describes it as "partial 16S ribosomal RNA". It matches the Rfam family "Bacterial small subunit ribosomal RNA", at positions 524 to 776 of the family's 1533-position model. The record is from RNAcentral.
UACGUAGGGUGCGAGCGUUGUCCGGCAUUAUUGGGCGUAAAGGUCUCGUAGGCGGUUUGUCGCGUCGGGCGUGAAAUCCACUGGCUUAACUGGUGGCUUGCUUUCGAUACGGGCAGACUGGAGGUAUGCAGGGGAGAACGGAAUUCCUGGUGUAGCGGUGAAAUGCGCAGAUAUCAGGAGGAACACCGGUGGCGAAGGCGGCUCACUGGACCGGAACUGACGCUGAGGCGCGAAAGCGUGGGGAGCAAACAGG